Molecule: ribosomal RNA, 448 nt
Filed under: uncultured Allobrachymonas sp.
Lineage: Bacteria; Pseudomonadati; Pseudomonadota; Betaproteobacteria; Burkholderiales; Comamonadaceae
Description: bacterial SSU rRNA
Rfam family: Bacterial small subunit ribosomal RNA
Source: RNAcentral
GCGGUGGAUGAUGUGGUUUAAUUCGAUGCAACGCGAAAACCUUACCCACCUUUGACAUGGCAGGAAUCCCGAAGAGAUUUGGGAGUGCUCGAAAGAGAACCUGCACACAGGUGCUGCAUGGCUGUCGUCAGCUCGUGUCGUGAGAUGUUGGGUUAAGUCCCGCAACGAGCGCAACCCUUGCCAUUAGUUGCUACGAAAGGGCACUCUAAUGGGACUGCCGGUGACAAACCGGAGGAAGGUGGGGAUGACGUCAAGUCCUCAUGGCCCUUAUAGGUGGGGCUACACACGUCAUACAAUGGCCGGUACAGAGGGUAGCCAACCCGCGAGGGGGAGCCAAUCCCACAAAGCCGAUCGUAGUCCGGAUCGCAGUCUGCAACUCGACUGCGUGAAGUCGGAAUCGCUAGUAAUCGUGGAUCAGCAUGUCACGGUGAAUACGUUCCCGGGUCUU